UGCAAGGUUGCAUGCACGAUCAGGUGAGUUGAGGAUCUCAUAGUAGAAAACGGAGAAGUUAAGUGCCAGUCCCAAACGGAUUGGGUGGGUAGGGGCCAGAUCAGCAAGGGCAAUAUCCUGCAACAAAGAAAGGGGAAAACAUUAGUGGGUAUGAACAUUGGAAGACCACACAACCGAACAUUGUGCUGAAGGUCUACCAAUCUACCAGAACAACAGAUGUGUUUUCACAAGUCUAGAUCAAAAGCGAACCUGAGCGGACUUGUAAGCCAACAAGGUGCUCUCAGCAGCUUCCUUCCUCUCAGCUCCAGUUUUAAACUCUGCAAGAUACCUAUGGUAGUCACCCUUCAUUUUAAGGUAAAAGACCUUAGACUCAGCAGCGGAGGUAGCAGGAAUGAGAUGCGACUCAAGAAGGUUCAGGAUGCCAUCACAAAUCUUGCUCAACUCAGUUUCAAUCUUAGACCUGUAAUCCUUGAUAGUAGAAACAUGGUCCUCAUUUCCCCUGCUUUCUUCUUUCUGCUCGAUGGAAGAGAUAAUCCUCCAUGAAGCUCUUCUGGCCCCAAUCACGUUCUUGUAAGCAACAGAAAGUAGGUUCCUUUCCUCCACGGUCAGCUCCUCAACAUCCACUGUCUUGGCAACUUUCUCCAUAAACUCCACCAUCUCCUCGUAACGUUCAGCCUGCUCAGCCAACUUUGCCAUGUAGACAUUGUCUUCA
RNAcentral lists this long non-coding RNA (712 nucleotides) under Linum usitatissimum (flax). RNAcentral describes it as "long non-coding RNA (LUSI_LNC007701)". The record is from RNAcentral. Lineage: Eukaryota; Viridiplantae; Streptophyta; Magnoliopsida; Malpighiales; Linaceae.